Molecule: long non-coding RNA, 1242 nt
Filed under: Monodelphis domestica (gray short-tailed opossum)
Lineage: Eukaryota; Metazoa; Chordata; Mammalia; Didelphimorphia; Didelphidae
Description: lncRNA (ENSMODG00000048459.1)
Source: RNAcentral
AUGCUCCCUCUCAUUUCUGAUAUUCAGAGUUCCAUGCUCCCUCACAUCCCUGACAUUCUGGGUUCUAUGCUCCCUCUCAUCUCUGAUAUUCUGGAUUCUAUGCUCCUUUACAUCCCUGACAUUCUGAGUUCCAUGCUCCCUCACAUCUCUGACAUUCUAGGUUCUAUGCUCCCUCACAUCCCUGACAUUCUGGGUUCUAUGCUCCCUCUCAUCUCUGAUAUUCUGGAUUCUAUGCUCCUUUACAUCCCUGACAUUCUGAGUUCCAUGCUCCCUCACAUCUCUGACAUUCUAGGUUCUAUGCUCCCUCACAUCCCUGACAUUCUGGGUUCUAUGCUCCCUCACAUCCCUGACAUUCUGGGUUCUAUGCUCCCACACAUCCCUGACAUUCUGGGUUCUAUGCUCCCUCACAUCUCUGACAUUCUGGGUUCUAUGUUCCCUCACAUCCCUGACAUUCUGGGUUCUAUGCUCCCUCACAUCCCUGACAUUCUGGGUUCUAUGCUCCCACACAUCCCUGACAUUCUGGGUUCUAUGCUCCCUCUCAUCUCUGAUAUUCUGGAUUCUAUGCUCCUUUACAUCCCUGACAUUCUGAGUUCCAUGCUCCCUCACAUCCCUGACAUUCUAGGUUCUAUGCUCCCUCACAUCCCUGACAUUCUGGGUUCUAUGCUCCCUCACAUCCCUGACAUUCUGGGUUCUAUGCUCCCACACAUCCCUGACAUUCUGGGUUCUAUGCUCCCUCACAUCCCUGACAUUCUGGGUUCUAUGCUCCCUCUCAUCUCUGAUAUUCUGGGUUCUAUGUUCCCUCAUAUCCCUGACAUUCUGGGUUCUAUGUUCCCUCACAUCCCUGACAUUCUGGGUUCUAUGCUCCCACACAUCCCUGACAUUCUGGGUUCUAUGCUCCCUCUCAUCUCUGAUAUUCUGGAUUCUAUGCUCCUUUACAUCCCUGACAUUCUGGGUUCUAUGCUCCCUCUCAUCUCUGAUAUUCUGGAUUCUAUGCUCCCUCACAUCCCUGACAUUCUGGGUUCUAUGCUCCCUCAUAUCCCUGACAUUCUGGGUUCUAUGUUCCCUCACAUCCCUGACAUUCUGGGUUCUAUGCUCCCUCACAUCCCUGACAUUCUGGGUUCUAUGCUCCCUCACAUCCCUGACAUUCUGGGUUCUAUGCUCCCUCACAUCCCUGACAUUCUGGGUUCUAUGUUCCCUCACAUCUCUGACAUUCUGGAUUCUAUGCUCCCUUUACAUCCCUGA